RNAcentral lists this ribosomal RNA (469 nucleotides) under Amblyglyphidodon leucogaster (yellowbelly damselfish). RNAcentral describes it as "partial small subunit ribosomal RNA". It matches the Rfam family "Bacterial small subunit ribosomal RNA", at positions 788 to 1481 of the family's 1533-position model. Lineage: Eukaryota; Metazoa; Chordata; Actinopteri; Pomacentridae. The record is from RNAcentral.
CACUAUGCUCAGCCUUAAAAUUUGAUAGGCCCCUACGCCCCCUAUCCGCCCGGGUACUACGAGCACCAGCUUGAAACCCAAAGGACUUGGCGGUGCUUCACAUCCGUCUAGAGGAGCCUGUUCUAGAACCGAUAACCCCCGUUAAACCUCACCCUCCCUUGUUUAUACCGCCUAUAUACCGCCGUCGUCAGCCUACCCUGUGAAGGCCCAGAAGUGAGCAAGAUUGGUAAAGCCCAAAACGUCAGGUCGAGGUGUAGUGAAUGAGAGGGGAAGAAAUGGGCUACAUUUCCUAAGUUAGGAAAUACGAAUAAUGAACUGAAAUAAACAUUAGAAGGUGGAUUUAGCAGUAAGCAGAAAAACAGAGUGUUUCGCUGAAGUUAUGGCAAUAAAGCACGCACACAUCGCCCGUCACUCUCCCCAAGCUACCCUACUAACCAGUACCUAAAAAAUAAUAUCCGCAAAGGGGAGG